UACGUAGGGUGCGAGCGUUAAUCGGAAUUACUGGGCGUAAAGCGUGCGCAGGCGGUUUUGUAAGCCAGAUGUGAAAUCCCCGGGCUUAACCUGGGAACUGCAUUUGGGACUGCAAGGCUAGAGUACGGCAGAGGGGGGUAGAAUUCCUGGUGUAGCAGUGAAAUGCGUAGAUAUCAGGAGGAAUACCGAUGGCGAAGGCAGCCCCCUGGGUUGAUACUGACGCUCAUGCACGAAAGCGUGGGGAGCAAACAGGAUUAGAUACCCUGGUAGUCCACGCCCUAAACGAUGUCAACUAGUUGUUGGAGGCCUUACCGCCUUUAGUAACGCAGCUAACGCGUGAAGUUGACCGCCUGGGGAGUACGGUCGCAAGAUUA
This 374-nucleotide ribosomal RNA is filed under the name uncultured prokaryote. RNAcentral's name for it is "bacterial SSU rRNA". It matches the Rfam family "Bacterial small subunit ribosomal RNA", at positions 524 to 896 of the family's 1533-position model. The record is from RNAcentral.